This 234-nucleotide ribosomal RNA is filed under the name Ralstonia solanacearum. Its description in RNAcentral is "partial 16S ribosomal RNA". It matches the Rfam family "Bacterial small subunit ribosomal RNA", at positions 123 to 358 of the family's 1533-position model. The record is from RNAcentral. Lineage: Bacteria; Pseudomonadati; Pseudomonadota; Betaproteobacteria; Burkholderiales; Burkholderiaceae.
AACGUGCCCUGUAGUGGGGGAUAACUAGUCGAAAGACUAGCUAAUACCGCAUACGACCUGAGGGUGAAAGUGGGGGACCGCAAGGCCUCAUGCUAUAGGAGCGGCCGAUGUCUGAUUAGCUAGUUGGUGGGGUAAAGGCCCACCAAGGCGACGAUCAGUAGCUGGUCUGAGAGGACGAUCAGCCACACUGGGACUGAGACACGGCCCAGACUCCUACGGGAGGCAGCAGUGGGA